GCCCGGGUGGCGGAAUUGGUAGACGCAAGGGACUUAAAAUCCCUCGGGAGUUUCUCCCGUGCCGGUUCGAGUCCGGCCCUGGGCA
This 85-nucleotide transfer RNA is filed under the name Candidatus Dadabacteria bacterium. RNAcentral describes it as "tRNA-Leu". It matches the Rfam family "tRNA". Rfam says of the family: Transfer RNA (tRNA) molecules are approximately 80 nucleotides in length. Their secondary structure includes four short double-helical elements and three loops (D, anti-codon, and T loops). The record is from RNAcentral. Lineage: Bacteria; Pseudomonadati; Thermodesulfobacteriota; Candidatus Dadabacteria.